AAUCUGCGAGGACCACCUCGUAAGGCUAAAUAUUCCUGGAUGUCCGAUAGCGAAUAGUACCGCGAGGGAAAGGUGAAAAGAACCCCGGGAGGGGAGUGAAAUAGAACGUGAAAUUGCAUGCCCACAAACAGAAAGAGAACGACUUAGCGUUUAAUUUCGUGCCUGUUGAAGAAUGUUCCGGCGACUUAUAGUUAGUGGCAGGUUAAAAUAGAGAUAUUGGAGCCAGAGUGAAAGCGAGCUUGAAUAGAGCGUUCGUCAUUAGUUAUAGACCCGAACCCGGUUGAUCUAACCAUGGGCAGGAUGAAACUUGGGUAACACUAAGUGGAGGUCCGAACCGACUGAUGUUGAAAAAUCAGCGGAUGACCUGUGGUUAGGGGUGAAAUGCCAAUCGAAACCGGAGCUAGCUGGUUCUCCCCGAAAUGUAUUUAGGUGCAGCGGUUAAUAUUAUAGCGUAGGGGUAAAGCACUGUUUCGGUGCGGGCUGGUAAUUCGGUACCAAAUCGAGGCAAACUCUGAAUACUACGUGCACAAUUAACCAGUAAGACUGUGGGGGAUAAGCUUCAUAGUCAAGAGGGAAACAGCCCAGAUCACCAGCUAAGGCCCCUAAAUAAUGACUAAGUGAUAAAGGAAGUGGAAAGGCUUAGACAACCAGGAGGUUUGCUUAGAAGCAGCAAUCCUUUAAAAAGUGCGUAAUAGCUUACUGGUCUAGCAAUUCUGCGCCGAAAACUUACGGGACUAAGUCAUUUGCCGAAGCUGUGAGAUAGUUCAUGAAUAAGUAGAAGAGAUUUUUUAAUCUUGAAGAAAACUUACUAGCAUUGUCUAGGACAUACUAUCGGUAGGGGAGCGUUCUGUUGUAGGUUGAAGUGUUAGCGAAAGCGGGCAUGGACGAAACAGAAGUGAGAAUGUCGGAUUGAGUAGCGAAAACAUUGGUGAGAAUCCAAUGCUCCGAAAACCUAAGGUUUCCUCCGCAAGGCUCGUCCACGGAGGGUGAGUCAGGUCCUAAGGUGAGGCUGAGAAGCGUAGUUGAUGGAUAAUAGAUUAAUAUUUCUAUACUGAUUAUUACUGGUAACGAGGGACGAAUAAGGCUAAACUAGCCAGAGAUUGGUUACUGGUUUAAGGAAGUAAGGUGUUGACGAUUAGUGAAAAUAAUCUGAGCUGAGAUCUGAAUGCAAGAUUGAAAAAUCAAAGUAGUUGAUGUCAUAGUUCCAAGAAAAGCUCGCUAUGCCUUAAGUAAUAAUCACCUGUACCUUAAACCGACACAGGUAGGUAGGUAGAGAAUACCAAGGAGCGCGGGAGAACCCUCCUUAAGGAACUCGGCAAAAUAGCUCUGUAACUUCGGAAGAAAGAGUGCCUUUUAGGCUGCAAUAUCAAGUUCCAAGCAACUGUUUAGCAAAAACACAGGUCUCCGCUAAGUUGUAAGACGAUGUAUGGGGGCUGACGCCUGCCCAGUGCCGGAAGGUUAAAGAAGUUGGUUAGCGCAAGCAAAGCUGGUAACUGAAGCCCCGGUGAACGGCGGCCGUAACUAUAACGGUCCUAAGGUAGCGAAAUUCCUUGUCAGGUAAGUUCUGACCCGCACGAAUGGCGUAAUGAUUUGGAAGCUGUCUCGAGGAGGGACUCGGUGAAAUAGAACUGUCUGUGAAGAUGCGGACUACCUGCGCCUGGACAGUAAGACCCUAUGAAGCUUUACUGUAUCCUGAAAUUGGAUUUCGAUUUUCUUUGCGCAGAAUAGGUGGGAGACGUUGAUUUUAGUCUUUCGGGAUUAGAGGAGUCAUUAGUGAGAUACCACUCUUAGAAAAUUAAAAUUCUAACUUCAUACCGUAAACCGGUUGAAAGACAGUUUCAGGUGGGCAGUUUGACUGGGGCGGUCGCCUCCCAAAAGGUAACGGAGGCGUACAAAGGUUUCCUCAGAUCGGUCAGAAAUCGAUCUUCGAGUGCAAAGGCAAAAGGGAGCUUAACUGUGAGACAAACAAGUCGAGCAGAGACGAAAGUCGGUCUUAGUGAUCUGACGAUGCUGUGUGGAAAGGUCGUCACUCAACGGAUAAAAGUUACUCUAGGGAUAACAGGCUGAUCUCCCCCAAGAGUUCUUAUCGACGGGGAGGUUUGGCACCUCGAUGUCGGCUCAUCGCAUCCUGGGGCGGAAGUACGUCCCAAGGGUUG
Molecule: ribosomal RNA, 2156 nt
Filed under: Synura kristiansenii
Lineage: Eukaryota; Synurophyceae; Synurales; Mallomonadaceae
Description: partial large subunit ribosomal RNA
Rfam family: Bacterial large subunit ribosomal RNA
Source: RNAcentral